Long non-coding RNA from Brienomyrus brachyistius, 1065 nucleotides. RefSeq lists it as uncharacterized. NCBI's taxonomy places the organism in Eukaryota, Metazoa, Chordata, Actinopteri, Osteoglossiformes, Mormyridae. The record is from RefSeq and is a predicted model, not a curated record. The transcript is spliced from 2 exons.
GAGAUGAGCUCUCAGAAGUUUCCAGACAAUCCCGGUUCAUGAAAGACGUGAAAUGAGUCAUGCUGCAGGGCUGUUCAGGGAAGGUCAUCAUCUCUCACGGGAAACCAUUUAUUUUGCUAUUAGCUGUAAUCAUUUUACCAAAAAUCACCGUGACACCCCAAAACAUUAGAAGAGACCCGCUUGUUUUUUUGCUGACGUCUGCGAGCGUACUUCGUAUUCGCACUUGUACGUCCUAUUUUGUAAUUGAGCCUAGCAAAGCGCCUCCUCUUCGGGCAAGUAUCCCGGCAACCAGAUAACAGAAGAGGGAAAACAUCCUCACGCCGCUGCCAUCAGACAGACGAGCCGCAUUUCUGCCAAACACUCAUCUUUAAAACAUCUCCCGGGGUUGUGUCGGAGCCAAAAUGCCGGCUUCUGAGUCACGGCUCCGAGAUGCGGGGGCUGGGGGUGGCUGCAGGGAGUGCUGCAGACGAAAGCCGGGACCAAGCCGAGCUGAAACUUGUGUCGAAACACCACUGCGCUGUGGCCAGUGUUACCAUGCCAACCGAGCCCUGCACCUGGCCACAACCGGCUGGAAGGUACGCCCCACGCUCAGCGCCUCUGUCCACGCAACACUCCAGCCCAAAACAAAUCCAGUCUGUCACUCGUUUGACACAGAAAGCCUCUCAUCGAUUCCCCGUGGGCUCAUCUGUUCCGCCCUCCCCGCCAACACACCCACCCCGUCAAAAGAGCACCCCCCCCCCCCCAAGCCAUGUUUCUGGAUGCACGCAACGUUCCAACCCAGACAGAGAUGCACACAGGCUGGAUUAAUUCUGCGAGCUAUGCAAAGGACCUGAAGCUCUAAAACUGUUUCUGAGGACAGACGAUGGGAUUCUGGGAUCAUUCACACAGGAAUUUCUUGGAAUAAAUAAGUUUAGUAAUAACUAAACGCAAGCUUCAAUGAGUUAAAUCUGAAAAGAUCUCAAGACUUUUUCCCUGUACCAGACAAAAGAAAACAUUGCAUUAUUGGCAUGCAGAUGCAUUGGGUGGGGCAUUUAGUGGGAAAUAAAUAUCUUCGACUACAAGUUA